RNAcentral lists this transfer RNA (71 nucleotides) under Ovis aries (sheep). It matches the Rfam family "tRNA". Rfam says of the family: Transfer RNA (tRNA) molecules are approximately 80 nucleotides in length. Lineage: Eukaryota; Metazoa; Chordata; Mammalia; Artiodactyla; Bovidae. The record is from Rfam by way of RNAcentral.
UCCUUGGUGGUUCAGUUGGUAAAGAAUCUGCCUGCAAUGCAGGAAACCCGGGUUCAAUCCCGGGCUGGGAA